UAGGGAAUCUUCGGCAAUGGACGAAAGUCUGACCGAGCAACGCCGCGUGAGUGAAGAAGGUUUUCGGAUCGUAAAACUCUGUUGUUAGAGAAGAACGUUGCAUAGAGUGGAAAAUUAUGCAAGUGACGGUAUCUAACCAGAAAGGGACGGCUAACUACGUGCCAGCAGCCGCGGUAAUACGUAGGUCCCGAGCGUUGUCCGGAUUUAUUGGGCGUAAAGCGAGCGCAGGUGGUUUAAUAAGUCUGAUGUAAAAAGGCAGUGGCUCAACCAUUGUGUGCAUUGGAAAC
RNAcentral lists this ribosomal RNA (287 nucleotides) under uncultured bacterium. RNAcentral describes it as "partial 16S ribosomal RNA". It matches the Rfam family "Bacterial small subunit ribosomal RNA", at positions 355 to 633 of the family's 1533-position model. The record is from RNAcentral.